Molecule: ribosomal RNA, 253 nt
Filed under: uncultured bacterium
Lineage: Bacteria
Description: partial 16S ribosomal RNA
Rfam family: Bacterial small subunit ribosomal RNA
Source: RNAcentral
UACGUAGGGGGCAAGCGUUGUCCGGAAUCAUUGGGCGUAAAGAGCGUGUAGGCGGCUCGAUAAGUCCGCUGUGAAAGUCCAGGGCUCAACCCUGGGAUGCCGGUGGAUACUGUCGGGCUCGAGUCCGGAAGAGGAGUGUGGAAUUCCUGGUGUAGCGGUGAAAUGCGCAGAUAUCAGGAGGAACACCAAUGGCGAAGGCAGCACUCUGGGACGUGACUGACGCUGAGACGCGAAAGCGUGGGGAGCAAACAGG